CUACGGGCUGCACCAGUGGGGAAUAUUGCACAAUGGGCGCAAGCCUGAUGCAGCAACGCCGCGUGAGGGACGAAGGCCUUCGGGUUGUAAACCUCUUUUAGCAGGGAAGAAGCGAAAGUGACGGUACCUGCAGAAAAAGCACCGGCUAACUACGUGCCAGCAGCCGCGGUAAUACGUAGGGUGCAAGCGUUGUCCGGAAUUAUUGGGCGUAAAGAGCUCGUAGGCGGUCUGUCACGUCUGCUGUGAAAUUUCGAGGCUCAACCUCGAACUUGCAGUGGGUACGGGCAGGCUAGAGUGCGGUAGGGGAGAUGGGAAUUCCUGGUGUAGCGGUGGAAUGCGCAGAUAUCAGGAGGAACACCAAUGGCGAAGGCACAUCUCUGGGCCGUAACUGACGCUGAGGAGCGAAAGCGUGGGGAGCGAACAGGAUUAGAUACCCGUGUAGUC
RNAcentral lists this ribosomal RNA (444 nucleotides) under uncultured bacterium. RNAcentral describes it as "partial 16S ribosomal RNA". It matches the Rfam family "Bacterial small subunit ribosomal RNA", at positions 339 to 795 of the family's 1533-position model. The record is from RNAcentral.